Erinaceus europaeus (western European hedgehog) is the source of this 1048-nucleotide long non-coding RNA. RefSeq lists it as uncharacterized. The record is from RefSeq and is a predicted model, not a curated record. The transcript is spliced from 3 exons. Lineage: Eukaryota; Metazoa; Chordata; Mammalia; Eulipotyphla; Erinaceidae.
GGCAAAGUGAAAGCAUGAAUAGAGCAAAACUUGCAGCAACUUCUAGAGUAAAACUGAGUUUAAAUUAUAAUGCUUGUUCUUUAUUAGCUAAUCAGAAGAACUUCCCAUUUUAUAAUUUGUAUUUACUCUCAAAACUGUUGUUGACUUAAGAUCUAUUGUGUCCAUGUCACAGUUCAUUUCCUCUUGCUGCUUGAUCCUGCCUCUUUCCCUUAUUUUCCCAAGUGCUGACCCCUAAUAAACAUCUUGCACUCCAAAGUGCAUCCCAGUAUCUAUUUUUACAGAAUCCAGCCUGUACACUUGAGUCCUCGAUAAUUCAUACAUUCACUCAACAAACAAGAAAUCAAAUAGCUACAAUGUGCCAACGUCUGUUCUAGACAGUGAAGAUUCAGUGAGACAGAGUGAAAAAGAUCACAGCACCAAAACUUCCUUCAACGUGAUGUGGAGGGGACUGGCUGUUCACAAGGCAAACCAGCAUACCACCCAAUCACCAAGUUGCAGAUGCUACCAUGAAGCCAUCCUGACUUCUCUGGGCAGAUGACCUCACCAAAGUGUCCUGGAACCUCAUCUCUCCAGAGUCCUGCCCCACUAGGGAAAGACAGAAAUAGGCUGGGGGUAUGGAUCCAUCUGCCAAAGUCCACAUCCAGUGGAGAAGCAAUUACAGAAGCCAGACCUUCCACCUUCUGCACCCCAUAAAGAAUUUGGUCCAUACACCCAGAAGGAAAAAUAAUAGGGAAGUUUUCAACAGAAGGAAUGGAACAUGGGACUCUGGUGAUAGGAACUGUGUGGAACUGUACUCCUGUUAUCUUACAAUCUUGUUGAUCAUUACUAAAUCACUAAUAAAAAAAAUAACAGGAAAAAAUAAAAAUAAAUUGGUGAAUGAGUGGUACUAUAUAGUAGAAAAUAUAUGAGGCUAGGGAGGUGAGUCAGUGAUAGGUUCAUGCCUUCCAGGCCCAAGGCCCUGGGUUUAAUCCUAAGCACUCAUUCAAAUAAAAAAGACCAUUAUAAAUUUCAGAGAGUUCCUUGGCCUCUCAGGCUUUUUUUUUCCCCC